UAUGGCCGUACCACCCUGAGCGUGCCCAGCCUCACCUGAUCUUGGAAGCCAACCAGGGUCAGGCCGGAUUAGUCCUUGGAUGCGAGAAAAACAGAAAGAGCUCAAAU
This 107-nucleotide ribosomal RNA is filed under the name Octodon degus (degu). The record is from RNAcentral. Lineage: Eukaryota; Metazoa; Chordata; Mammalia; Rodentia; Octodontidae.